GACAGAGGUGCCGAGCGUUAGGCGGAAUCACUGGGCUUAAAGCGUGUGUAGGCGGAUCGUUAAGUAUCUUGUGAAAUCCCACGGCUCAACCGUGGAACUGCUGGGUAUACUGGCGAUCUUGAGCAACCUAGGGGCAGACGGAACAAGUGGUGGAGCGGUGAAAUGCGUAGAUAUCACUUGGAACGCCGACGGUGAAAACAGUCUGCUGGGGGUUUGCUGGCGCUGAGACACGAAAGCCAGGGGAGCGAACGGG
Molecule: ribosomal RNA, 253 nt
Filed under: uncultured bacterium
Lineage: Bacteria
Description: partial 16S ribosomal RNA
Rfam family: Bacterial small subunit ribosomal RNA
Source: RNAcentral